RNAcentral lists this ribosomal RNA (460 nucleotides) under uncultured bacterium. RNAcentral describes it as "partial 16S ribosomal RNA". It matches the Rfam family "Bacterial small subunit ribosomal RNA", at positions 338 to 795 of the family's 1533-position model. The record is from RNAcentral.
CCUACGGGUGGCAGCAGUGAGGAAUAUUGGUCAAUGGACGAGAGUCUGAACCAGCCAAGUAGCGUGAAGGAUGACUGCCCUAUGUGCUGUAAACUUCUUUUAUAUGGGAAUAAAAUGUUCCACGUGUGUGAUUUUGUAUGUACCCUAUGAAUCAGGAUCGGCUAACUCCGUGCCAGCAGCCGCGGUAAUACGGAGGAUCCGAGCGUUAUCCGGAUUUAUUGGGUUUAAAGGGAGCGUAGAUGGAUGUUUAAGUCAGUUGCGAAAGUUUGGGGCUAAACCGUGGAAUUGCAGUGGAAACUGGGAGGAUGGAGUGCAGGAGGGGUGAGCGGAAUGCGUAGUGUAGCGGUGAAAUGCGUAGAUAUGAGGAGGAACACCGGUGGCGAAGGCGGUUCACUGGACUGGAACUGACGUUGAGGCUCGAAAGCGUGGGGAGCAAACAGGAUUAGAUACCCUAGUAGUC